RNAcentral lists this non-coding RNA (45 nucleotides) under Schistosoma mansoni. Lineage: Eukaryota; Metazoa; Platyhelminthes; Trematoda; Strigeidida; Schistosomatidae. The record is from RNAcentral.
AUUCAGUUGACGAGUCCCGAAUAGGGUGAAACUCGUGUGCUGAAU